AGCAGCCGCGGUAAUUCCAGCUCCAAUAGCGUAUAUUAAGGUUGUUGCAGUUAAAAAGCUCGUAGUUGAAUUUCGGGAUUAAUUUAUUGGUCGUGCUAUUGUACGUACUGGUAUUAUUGAUUCCUACCUUCUGACGAACCAUGAUGUCAUUAAUUUGGUGUCAUGGGGAAUCAGGACUGUUACUUUGAAAAAUUAGAGUGUUUAAAGCAGGCUCACGCUUGAAUACAUUAGCAUGGAAUAACGAAAUAGGACGUUUGACUCUAUUUUGUUGGUUUCUAGGAUCGACGUAAUGAUUAAUAGGGAUAGUUGGGGCAUUAGUAUUCAAUUGUCAGAGGUGAAAUUCUUGGAUUUAUUGAAGACUAACUACUGCGAAAGCAUUUGCCAAGGAUGUUUUCAUUAAUCAAGAACGAAAGUUAGGGGAUCGAAGACGAUCAGAUACCGUCGUAGUCU
Molecule: ribosomal RNA, 450 nt
Filed under: uncultured Glomus
Lineage: Eukaryota; Fungi; Glomeromycota; Glomeromycetes; Glomerales; Glomeraceae
Description: SSU rRNA
Rfam family: Eukaryotic small subunit ribosomal RNA
Source: RNAcentral